Molecule: ribosomal RNA, 467 nt
Filed under: uncultured bacterium
Lineage: Bacteria
Description: partial 16S ribosomal RNA
Rfam family: Bacterial small subunit ribosomal RNA
Source: RNAcentral
GACGAACGCUGGCGGCGUGCUUAACACAUGCAAGUCGAACGGAAAGGCCUCUUUCGGGGGGUACUCGAGUGGCGAACGGGUGAGUAACACGUGAGUAACCUGCCCUUGACUUUGGGAUAACUUCAGGAAACUGGGGCUAAUACCGGAUAGGAGCUCCUGCUGCAUGGUGGGGGUUGGAAAGUUUCGGCGGUUGGGGAUGGACUCGCGGCUUAUCAGCUUGUUGGUGGGGUAGUGGCUUACCAAGGCUUUGACGGGUAGCCGGCCUGAGAGGGUGACCGGCCACAUUGGGACUGAGAUACGGCCCAGACUCCUACGGGAGGCAGCAGUGGGGAAUAUUGCACAAUGGGUGGAAGCCUGAUGCAGCAACGCCGUGUGCGGGAGGACGGCCUUCGGGUUGUAAACCGCUUUCGCUCAUGACGAAGCUUUGUGUGACGGUAGUAGGUAAAGAAGCACCGGCUAACUACGUG